AAGUUUAGGUUAUAAUUUAAACCGAGAGCCUUCAAAGCCCUAAAUAGAACAGUCUGAUCUAACUUCUG
RNAcentral lists this transfer RNA (68 nucleotides) under Lygodactylus soutpansbergensis. RNAcentral describes it as "Lygodactylus nigropunctatus soutpansbergensis tRNA-Trp". Lineage: Eukaryota; Metazoa; Chordata; Lepidosauria; Squamata; Gekkonidae. The record is from RNAcentral.